AUGGAAAAAACUACCUCGUGGAGAAGAGUGAAUUACAAAUCCUCCGCGACCGAGGCCGCGCCGGGCUGUAAUUUCGGUUUGGCGCUGAUCCGCGCCGCUGCGGCUUGUCGAUGGCCUGAUUUAAGUUGUUGGGGCCCUGGGGAUGAAACCGGCCGCCCUCCUCGGUGCCUCUGCUGGGGUUUUGCGCUCUCUCCUAGCCCGGGCCUGAGGCGGCUUUUAAAGGAUUUUCCCCCAGGGUGGAGCUGUGUUAUCAGCGCUGCGCCAGAGCCUUGUCCCCCUCCAGCAAGCUGCGCGGGAUUACCAGGUCUUCCUCCAGGGAGCAAGCCAGGACAUCUGGAAGCAGAGAAGACCCCGGAGAUUUACACCCCUGCAUCCGGCCGCUCCUUCCCCACCUCUUCUGGACAUAAAGAGGGUUGGAGAACAACCCCGUGGCAAACCACAGCAGCUCCCCGGAGUUGGCUCGCAGCGAGGGUAAAAAGAGGCAGGAGCGAUGCAAAAACCCAGCGGGCAUUUGCUAAAAAUAGAAUAAAAUAAAAUUAAAUUAAAUAAA
RNAcentral lists this long non-coding RNA (550 nucleotides) under Anser cygnoides (Swan goose). Its description in RNAcentral is "lncRNA (ENSACDG00005014579.1)". The record is from RNAcentral. Lineage: Eukaryota; Metazoa; Chordata; Aves; Anseriformes; Anatidae.